Molecule: ribosomal RNA, 575 nt
Filed under: uncultured rumen bacterium
Lineage: Bacteria
Description: bacterial SSU rRNA
Rfam family: Bacterial small subunit ribosomal RNA
Source: RNAcentral
GGCAGCAGCUAAGAAUAUUCCGCAAUGGACGAAAGUCUGACGGAGCGACGCCGCGUGGAUGAUGAAGGCCGUGAGGUUGUAAAAUCCUUUUAUAACAGAGGAAUAAGCAGAAGAGUGGAAUGCUUCUGUGGUGACUGUAAGUUAUGAAUAAGCACCGGCUAAUUACGUGCCAGCAGCCGCGGUAACACGUAAGGUGCGAGCGUUGUUCGGAAUUAUUGGGCGUAAAGGGCAUGUAGGCGGUCUGGCAAGCUUGGUGUGAAAUCCCGGGGCUUAACCCCGGAACUGCAUUGAGAACUACUGGACUAGAAUCACUGAGGGGGAGCCGGAAUUCCAGGUGUAGGGGUGAAAUCUGUAGAUAUCUGGAAGAACACCAAUGGCGAAGGCAGGCUUCUAGCAGAUGAUUGACGCUGAGGUGCGAAGGUGCGGGGAGCAAACAGGAUUAGAUACCCUGGUAGUCCGCACAGUAAACUAUGUACACUGGGUGUCCGGCCAUGAGGCUGGGUGCCGAAGCAAACGCGAUAAGUGUACCGCCUGGGGAGUAUGCCCGCAAGGGUGAAACUCAAAGGAAUUGACGG